AUAUCAGUCAUGCAUAGCAUAUCAAUAAGCGGAGGAAAAGAAACUAACAAGGAUUCCCUUAGUAACGGCGAGUGAAGCGGGAAGAGCUCAAAUUUGAAAUCUUCAAGGUUUUACCUUGACGAAUUGUAGUUUAAAGAAGUGCUUUCUGUUGAAGUUUUGGUAAAAGUUCUUUGGAAUAGGACAUCAUAGAGGGUGAGAAUCCCGUAUUUGACCAUUACUUUCAGCUUUGUGAUACACUUUCAAAGAGUCGGAUUGUUUGGGAAUGCAGUCCAAAAUGGGUGGUAAAUUUCAUCUAAAGCUAAAUAUUGGCGAGAGACCGAUAGCGAACAAGUACCGUGAGGGAAAGAUGAAAAGAACUUUGAAAAGAGAGUUAAUCAGUACGUGAAAUUGUCAAAAGGGAAGCGUUUGACACCAGUGUUGUUUUCUCGAAAAUCAAUUAAAAAGAGUUGGAUUUUGUGUUGUAUUGACUUUAUCAGCUUUCUUCACUCUUUUCCAGCUUUUUUUAAUGCACUUUUCGUUUAACAAGUCAACAUCAGUUUCUUUUGUUGUAAAAAGGUCAUUGGAAGGUGGCUUUCUCUUCGGAGAAAGUGUUUAUAGCCUUUGACUCAUGCAAUCGGAGAGACUGAGGUCUGCAGCGUAGAUCCUUCGGGGUUAGAUACAGUUUGUGCUAAGUUAUAGCUUUUCAUAGACAACUUGUUGACUAUGUUUAGUCUUGUAGCUUACUCGCUUAUGCUAUUUUACCUACGCUUAGGAUGUUGAACUCUAUCACACACAG
Molecule: ribosomal RNA, 775 nt
Filed under: uncultured Neocallimastigales
Lineage: Eukaryota; Fungi; Neocallimastigomycota; Neocallimastigomycetes; Neocallimastigales
Description: partial large subunit ribosomal RNA
Rfam family: Eukaryotic large subunit ribosomal RNA
Source: RNAcentral